ACGAACGCUGGCGGCAUGCCUAACACAUGCAAGUCGAACGAGACCUUCGGGUCUAGUGGCGCACGGGUGCGUAACGCGUGGGAACCUGCCCUUAGGUUCGGAAUAACUCCCCGAAAGGGGUGCUAAUGCCGGAUAAUGUCUUCGGACCAAAGAUUUAUCGCCUUUGGAUGGGCCCGCGUUGGAUUAGCUAGUUGGUAGGGUAAAAGCCUACCAAGGCGACGAUCCAUAGCUGGUCUGAGAGGAUGAUCAGCCACACUGGGACUGAGACACGGCCCAGACUCCUACGGGAGGCAGCAGUGGGGAAUAUUGGACAAUGGGCGAAGGCCUGAUCCAGCAAUGCCGCGUGAGUGAUGAAGGCCUUAGGGUUGUAAAGCUCUUUUACCCGGGAUGAUAAUGACAGUACCGGGAGAAUAAGCUCCGGCUAACUCCGUG
This 432-nucleotide ribosomal RNA is filed under the name uncultured bacterium. RNAcentral describes it as "partial 16S ribosomal RNA". It matches the Rfam family "Bacterial small subunit ribosomal RNA", at positions 29 to 507 of the family's 1533-position model. The record is from RNAcentral.